GAACGAACGCUGGCGGCAUGCCUAACACAUGCAAGUCGAACGAGACCUUCGGGUCUAGUGGCGCACGGGUGCGUAACGCGUGGGAACCUGCCCUUAGGUUCGGAAUAACUCCCCGAAAGGGGUGCUAAUACCGGAUAAUGUCUUCGGACCAAAGAUUUAUCGCCUUUGGAUGGGCCCGCGUUGGAUUAGCUAGUUGGUAGGGUAAAAGCCUACCAAGGCGACGAUCCAUAGCUGGUCUGAGAGGAUGAUCAGCCACACUGGGACUGAGACACAGCCCAGACUCCUACGGGAGGCAGCAGUGGGGAAUAUUGGACAAUGGGCGAAAGCCUGAUCCAGCAAUGCCGCGUGAGUGAUGAAGGCCUUAGGGUUGUAAAGCUCUUUUACCCGGGAUGAUAAUGACAGUACCGGGAGAAUAAGCUCCGGCUAACUCCGUG
RNAcentral lists this ribosomal RNA (434 nucleotides) under uncultured bacterium. RNAcentral describes it as "partial 16S ribosomal RNA". It matches the Rfam family "Bacterial small subunit ribosomal RNA", at positions 27 to 507 of the family's 1533-position model. The record is from RNAcentral.